This 254-nucleotide ribosomal RNA is filed under the name uncultured bacterium. RNAcentral's name for it is "partial 16S ribosomal RNA". It matches the Rfam family "Bacterial small subunit ribosomal RNA", at positions 524 to 776 of the family's 1533-position model. The record is from RNAcentral.
UACGUAGGGUGCAAGCGUUGUCCGGAAUUAUUGGGCGUAAAGAGCUCGUAGGCGGUUUGUUGCGUCGGCUGUGAAAUCCCGAGGCUCAACCUCGGGUCUGCAGUCGAUACGAGCAAACUAGAGUGUUGCAGGGGAGACUGGAAUUCCUGGUGUAGCGGUGAAAUGCGCAGAUAUCGGGGAGGAACACCCGUAGCGAAGGCGGCACUCUGGGCCGGUACUGACGCUGAGGAGCGAAAGCGUGGGGAGCGAACAGG